GGGGCCAGGGAUCAAAUCCAAGCCACAGGUGCAAGCUAUGCCCCAACUGCGGCAGUGCUGGAUCCUUUAACCCACCACACCAGGCUGGGGAUUGAACCCAUACUGCCACAGAGGGAACUCCCAGGACUCCACAUUUUUAAUGUAUAUUUUGUGAAACAUGGACUUGAAGCUUGGAAGGUCUACUAUGCUAACUGAUCACUACGCACAAUUCCAGCUCUUCCCCUAUCUCUGGAGAAUGGAGAGUAGGGCUGAGAACUCCAAGUUUCUAAUCAUGGCUUGGUCUUUCUCAUGACUAGCCCCCAUCUAAGAGCCCACCAAAGGUCACUUAGUUGGAACAAAAGACACUGCUAUCACCCAGGAAAUUCCAAGGGGUUUAGGAACUCUGUGUCAGAACUGGGGUCAAAGACCAAUUAUUAGAACAAAAGACACUUCUAGGCUAUUAUCACUUAGGAAAUCACAAAGGUUUCAGGAGCUCUGCCAGGAACCAAGGGCAGGUAUCUAUCUAUCUAUAUAUAUAGAUAGAUAGGUAUAUAGAUAUAUAUAUUUCUAUCAUCUCACAAUGAAUAAAUAUAAUUUUUAAAAUGAUAAUUAACAGUGAUAAAUUAUAAAAAUCAAAAGAACAUAUAUACAUUAUUUUAAAAUUAGCAAUAAAAUUGCUAUAUCAGUAAUUUAGUACUGAAUACCACCAACAUAAAAGAAAUAUAUUGAAUGGAGUUCCCACUCCAGGGAGGAAGGAAACCAAUCUGACUAGGAACCAUGAGAUUGAGGGUUGGAUCCCUGGCCUUGAUCAGUGGGUUAAGGAUCUGGCGUUGCCAUGGGCUGUGGUGUAGGUCUCAGAUACAGCUUGGAUCCUGCAUUUCUGUGGCUGUGGUGUAGGUGAGCAGCUGUAGCUGAUUUGACCCCUGGCCUGGGAACCUCCAUAUGCCACAGGUACAGCCCUAGAAAAAGCAAAAAAAAAAAAAAAAGAGUUCCCGUCAUGGUGCAGCAGAAACUAAUCCAACUAGGAACCAUGAGGUUGCGGGUUCCAUCCCUGGUCUUGCUCAGUAGGUUAAGGAUCCGGCAUUGCCGUGACCUCUGGUGUAGGUCGCAGACUCGGCUUGAAUCUGGCGUUGCUGUGGCUCCGGUGUAGACUGGCAGCUGUAGCUCUGAUUAGACCCCUAGCCUGGGAACCUCCAUAUGCUGCGGGUGUGGCCCUAAAAAGAAAAAAAAAGAAAAAAAAAUAUAUACAUAGAGAGAGAGAGCGAGAGAGAAUGGUACGACAUUUAGCAGACAUAUAAGGAAAUUUUUAUUCUAGUUUAAAAAAAAAAAACAAAACCCUGAAAAAACACCCAAGAAUUAGGUGGACUGAAUUCUAGUCCUGAUUCCACCAACCACCCAAAGCUGAGUGAGUUACCUAAUUUCUCUAUUUCUGUAUCCUCAACUUGUAGAUGGGGAAAAUAACAUCUGGUGUCCUUGACCUCACAGGGUAAUUUUGAAACUCUCAUAAAGGAUAGAAGUAUGCUCUAAAAAAUCAUCCAACAGGGAUUUCCCAUUGUGGCUCAGUGGGAACGAACCCAAUUAGUAUACAUGAGGAUUCUGGUUGGCUCCCUGGCCUUGAGAAAGUGAUGAAGCUUCUCUGGGCCAAGAGCUUUCCAGGCAGAGGGAAGUGCUAGUUAACACUCUGAGGUAGGAGUCAGUGGGAGCUGUGGGGCCAGAGCCAUGUGAGUUUGGGAAGGAGUAAUGGAACGGUCAGGUCCCUUGUAGACCUCAGUAAAAACCUACACCUUUACUGUGAGGAAGGGAUUUUUUUUUCAGAUUUUGAGUAACUAGAGGAAUAACACAGUCUGAUUUAUCCUGGCUGCUGUAUUGAGAAUAAUCUAUAGGGGAUCCAGGGAGACCAAUUAGGAGGCUAUUGCAGACAUGACUCAUGUGAUGGUGAAGAAGCAUGAUGGUGGAUUAGAUCACAUAGCAGGAAUGGAAAUGAGAAGUGGUCAGAUUCUGGAUAGUGCCCUAAGACUCCCUGAAGGAUUACAGGUGGGUUUUCAGAAAAAGGAUUACAAAAUGACUCCUAGGCUUUCGGUUUCCAAAUGAAGAUGCUUAUUCUCCAGGAGGAAUAAAAGACAAUGCAAACUAUUUAUAAGAAACACAGAAAGUGGAUAUGAGUUCAGUCUAGUCUUUAUGGAUUUGAGAGCUGUCUGUGCUGAAAUGAUUCAGGUAAGGGCCUGGGCUGAUAAGGAAGGACCAAAAACUGGAGCCAGGAUUUGGGCAGAGCUGAUAAGCAGUAUGAGUAGAACAGAAAGCCAUCUAUAGGUCAAGGCCAGAAGUUAAAAGAUACUUAGAUAAAGGGAUGCAAUACUGAAAGCAAAGUCAAGGUUAGGGUUCAGAGUUUUGCUCUAAUUUGGAAGGCAAAGGCAAUAAUUCAACUGGAACAAGAGCAAUGAUAAUUUAUAAAACACAAGGCAAUCUGCUAAAAGUCUUUGAGUAAGGAGUUCCCUUGUGGCACAGUAGAUUAAGGAUCCAGUGUCACUGCAGGAGCUUGGGUUGCUGCUGUGGCACAGGUUAGUCACCAGCCUGGGAACUUCUAUGCCACAGGCACAGCCUAAAAAAGAAAAAAAAAAAAGGCUUUGAGUACAGAAUCUCAUUUAAUUUGUUCAAUAACCCCAUGAAUUAAGUGAAUACCCUACACAUGGCUGGUGGCAGACACAGUUUUAACCUUACCUUGGAUCUUGAAGCAUGUUGUGCUUAAAGACUACACAAUACUGCAAGUUUUAAUGUCUCAGUAGGCAGUGAAGUCAUCUCAGAGGUUCAAGUUAAGUGGGUGUGGGAGUGGUAAGCACAAGUGGAAGCAGAGUCCACGUACACAGACAAAAUUGGAUCUAAGCUUGUGGUUUAAGCUGGGCGUGAAGGAACAGGCUUGGGCUGGGGUCUGAAUCAGGAGCCCAGGAUUUGGCAAAGCACCACACUCAACCUAAUACAACAGCCCUGAGAGCUAAGCAAGGCACUAGAGAUGGCAGACAGUUAUAAUGAAAGAUAAGGACUUUGCUUAGCUAGAUUUGCAACAUGGCCACUGUGUUAUACCAAGGCAUCAAGUAUAAGUGCAAAUCCAAUGGAAUUUGCUUGCUAGAUCUCUGCAUCAGAACUAAGUGCUGCAACAUGGAUAAACAAACACACAUCUUUUCCGUAAGAAACUUGUUACAGAUCAAGCAUUGGAAGAACUCAAAAAGAGCCUUCUCUUUACCUGGCUUAUUUAAGGAGCUUGCCCCAGGCAAGAAAAGAGCUGGGUGAGUUCACAAUGCUCUUUCAAAGGUAAACUUUGGGCUUCCAAUACUUUUGUUUCUUUUCCUCCACCAAAUGGCAAAGAUGCACUGAACACAAAAUUUCAUUCUCAAUCUGCUUAAAAGGCAGAUUAGGAGUUCCUGUUGUGGUGCAGCAGAAACAAAUCCGAUUAGGAACCAUGAGGUUGAGGGUUCGAUCCCUGGCCUCACUCAGUGGGUUAAGGAUCAUGUGUUGCCGUGAUCUGUUGUAUAGGUUGCAGUCUCAGCUGGAAUCCAGCAUUGCUGUGGCUGUGGCUGGCAGCUGUAGCUCCAAUUAGACCCCUAGCCUGGGAAACUCUAUAUGCCCUAAAAAGCAAAAAAAGCAAAAAAAAAAAAAAAAAAAAAA
This 3639-nucleotide long non-coding RNA is filed under the name Sus scrofa (pig). Its description in RNAcentral is "lncRNA (ENSSSCG00000046402.1)". The record is from RNAcentral. Lineage: Eukaryota; Metazoa; Chordata; Mammalia; Artiodactyla; Suidae.